GCUUUAUAGAUCUAUCCUCUAACAUAUCCAUCUGCUGUCUUUAACACAGGCUGGACAUCUUUGGAUCUUAAAAUAAUCAAGAUUCAGUUCUCACUAUGCCAUAUCUCAUAUGGUGUGGUAGGAAGAGAUCUAAAGAGACCUAAUUUUAUAGAAACAAAGCAUGUCCCUAAAGAAACAAAAUAAAUUAAUGAAUUCCAUC
This 199-nucleotide long non-coding RNA is filed under the name Elaeis guineensis (African oil palm). RNAcentral's name for it is "long non-coding RNA (EGUI_LNC080570)". Lineage: Eukaryota; Viridiplantae; Streptophyta; Magnoliopsida; Arecales; Arecaceae. The record is from RNAcentral.